GAUAGAACGCUAGCGACAGGCCUAACACAUGCAAGUCGAGGGAAAGGGUAGCAAUACCUGAAAACCCGGCGCACGGGUGCGUAACGCGUAUGCAACCUACCUUUUACGUGGGGGAUAGCUUUCGGAAACGGAAAUUAAUACCCCAUAACAUUGCGAUAUCGCCUGAUAUUGUAAUUAAAGCUCCGGCGGUAAAAGAUGGGCAUGCGUGACAUUAGCUAGUUGGUAGGGUAACGGCCUACCAAGGCUACGAUGUCUAGGGGUUCUGAGAGGAAGGUCCCCCACACUGGUACUGAGACACGGACCAGACUCCUACGGGAGGCAGCAGUGAGGAAUAUUGGUCAAUGGACGCAAGUCUGAACCAGCCAUGUCGCGUGCAGGAUGACUGCCCUAUGGGUUGUAAACUGCUUUUGUAUGGGAAGAAAGUGAGAUACGUGUAUCUCUUUGCCGGUACCAUACGAAUAAGGAUCGGCUAACUCCGUG
This 480-nucleotide ribosomal RNA is filed under the name uncultured bacterium. Its description in RNAcentral is "bacterial SSU rRNA". It matches the Rfam family "Bacterial small subunit ribosomal RNA", at positions 31 to 507 of the family's 1533-position model. The record is from RNAcentral.